GCGGCCUGAUUGGAGAGCCAGCCACUCGCAGCCUGGUGGAGGACGCGACGCUGCCUGGGUGCGCACGGGUGCUGCGGAGGGCCAGGGCCCGCUCUGGCUCCCAUCUCUGGUCGGUGCUCCGGGGCAGAACCAUCUCCCCACCCUCGGCCGCAGUUCCCUCCUCUGCCCGCUUCCAAGCGCUGCUGAAGCAUGAAUCAUGACGGCGGUGCCCGUGGAAGCCCUGGGCAGGCUCCCAAGCUCUGCACCCAUGUUGGCAAUAUUUGAAGUUUAAUUCUUAUGCUCCGUGGCCCAGCUUGUAAAGAGUGGGGGAUGUUUAACCUAACCGUUUCUGAAAAACGCCCCAAACUGAAUUGCCCGGAUGAGAGGCGGUUUUGCGUGGGUGCCUCGUUUCUGCUUAGGGGCGAGCUUCUGAGGUCACCCCCGCUUACCCGGGUCCCACGUCCCUGUGCAUUCGUUCCGCAGAUGCGCACUGCUGCUCCGGCCCCGUGUCAGGUGCUGGUCCCCACCUCCAGGCAGCCUGAGGUCUUCGGAAGACAGACCGUGGGAAGGAAGCUGGAGUUCCCAGGCGUGGCAUUUCUCACUAGGAUGAACAGGAGCACCUUUUCUCCCAGCAGAGCAGAAACGCACCUAGGCCAGCGGGCAGCUCUCUGCAUCCUCAGAUAGGGGGGUGCGGUGGGGGUUGAGGCUGGGGGAGGGAGUGGGAUGCCUCUGGGUAAUAGGAGGGUGUCUCCGGGAAGGGUCAGAACUUCCCACCUCCCCGGGGACGCCUAGAAAUGUGCCUGGCUUGAGGGCUGCGCCUCUCUUUCCUGAGCUCAGAGGCCUUCCCGGGAGAGCACACUAUCUUAGCAGAGAUGCCAACGUGGAGCUCCAGCACCCUUGUUAAGCAGUUACACUGAGGAAGAGGGGCUCAGGCUGGCGCUGGGCUGGAAAUCAGACACUCCAGAUGGCAGACCUGUCCAAGAAGAUGGUGUCACACACUGAGAUGGGGGCAGUGAAUGUCAUCAGAGCCCUGCAGCUCCUCCCCUCCAAGCCUGGCAGUGGGGUUGUCAAAGAAGGCUUCCUAGAGGAGGUGACCUCUGAGCUGCAUUUGAAGAGUGACAGAAGUUUUUAGGAAGCGAGAGGCCCCUGUUGGUUGUGCUCCCUGGGGUGGGGGUGGACUUGUCCUGGAGGCAUGGGGAGCCAGAGGAAGACCCAAAACCGGGAUGUGGCGGUGGUCGGAUGUAGAUUUUUGAGAGAUCUGGCUCUCCCAGCAGCUGCACAGCCAUGUGGGUCUCCUCCUGACCACAAGGGGUUCUCAUCUUUUGAGGAGCACUUUGGGGGGAUGCAUCCAGCGUCCUGGCUCCACUCAACACUUCAUGUGUUCACAAGCAAGGCCAGCCAGCAUGAGGGAUUUGGAAGAAAAGGACCCAGAGGUCCUGGGGGCCCAAUGCACACAGGACGUCCCACUGCCCAGGCCGCAGCUCUUCAGCCAGGCCAGGCAGGAGACAUCUAGAGCGCCUGGCGGGCCAAGUGACUCAGGCCCCUGGGGAUGUUUGGCCCGCCUUUUGACCUCAGGCAGCAGGCAUCACACUGCCGGCAUAACCCAGGAGGAGGAAGGAGGAAGAGCCUCUCCCGUGGGUCCUGGGCCCAGAGCUGAGGGCGGCGGAGGGCUGGGUCCCUGCGGAGUCCUUGGGAUAGAGAGCCCGGGCUUCAAGGCGCACUGAAUGUUGUCCUGCUUGUGUGCACCAGAGGCCGCAGGGAUGGAGCUGUUUGUAAAGAGCUGGAGAGGCCUCUCACCCCAACACUGAAAAUUAAGCUUGACAAACUGCUCCCAACUGUCCUGUAACAGGCAGAACAGCACGCGCCCGGAAAGACUGCCUAGCGGGUGAGCCGCUGACAGCCAGGCCUGGCUCGGCGGGACCAGGAGGGGUGACGGGAGGGCACUGUGGGGAGCCAGGUGGUCCUGAUGGGGGAUGCGGGCAUGGAGGAGGGGUGGGGCGUCUCAGAAGGGAAGCCACGUGGAAGCAGAGCAUCCUGAGGCUGCCGAGGUGUACUUGCCGUCAUCCCACCCACAAUGAGCAGGGUCCAGAGGGAAAGCUUGGUCCAGCCAGGGCCACAACCACAGGCCGUUGGGUCCUAGGACCCCUGUCAGGAGGAGGAAUUUGGGUGCACACCUGCUGGGCAAGGUGCUCUGUGCUCCACCAGUGGCCUCAGCUCAGGUAGAUGGUUGCCUGUCUCUUUGAACCAGCUCCCUGCAUACACAAGCAUGCGUGCACAUGCACACGAAUCCAUACAUGCACACACACAUCCAUGUACACACAUAUCCGUGUGCAUCUAUGCCUGCACACUCAUCCGCACACAGACAUCCACAAAUCUGUACUGUUCGGGCACACGCCCACAUACAUGACACAGCACAUGCACACGAGUACCAUCUGUACACAGGAUGUGUGUGCAUGCACGUAUGUGCACCUGCAAGCAGACACGUGUGCACGCCCCACACGCUAUGCACAUGCAUGUAUCUGCCCACAUAUACUAAGCACUCACACACCCAUACAUAUGCAUACAAUCACACACACAGGCUAUGUGCACACGUGUGUGAGUCUGUGUGCACACCUCACUUCUGCAUGUCGCUGCACACACCCACUCGUGCACCCGCACGCAUGCACACACCCACACAUGCGCACGUGCCUGGGGCCACGCUCAGCCUCCCAGGCUGCAGGGAGGUGGGGUUUCUGCCAGCCCAUGGUGGGCAGCUCUUCCCAGGUUUCAGGCUGGGUUCUGCCUUGGCCUGCUCACCUCCACUGGGUCUCCUGUGUGCCCCUCAGGGUGGGCCGUCACUGGACCAUGUCUCUGUCUGCAGUGGGCUCUUGUGGACAAGCCAUUUCUUUGUCCCAUUGUCUGGUGCGGGCCUGGCUCACAGCUCACAGUAGGGGCUCAGUCAAAGUGUGGUGGAGGGAUGGGUGGCUGGGAACCCUGCGAAGGGCCUGCUGUCUUCCAUCCUCCCCAGCUACGCUGAUGCCAGCAGUGUAGCCGGUGCAGGCGGGGCCCGGCAGAGCAUGGCGGUGCCUGAAUGAGCCACUCUUGCUAGACCCAGCAUCCCCACCCAGCAUCCUCUUUUGCUUCUGUUCUGUGGAGGUUGUGGACUUAAACUCCCACUUAUUCCCUUACUUGCCAUCUGGCAGCCUGAGAACCUCCUGCCUCCCUGGGCCUCAGUUUUCCCAUCUGUCAAGUGGGGCUAUUGACUAGAUUGUUCUAAGAUCUGUGCUGGCUUUGCCCCCCCUUGGCUUGGAGCUCCUGGAGCUGAGCUUCAUGUCCACCUGCUGUCUUUGCCCUCAGUCUGUCCCUGGAGAGGGGGAAGAGCCUGGAGUCCCAGGAAGAGCCCUCCACUUGGUUGGCUGGUGUGGGAACAGAGGCGGGCAGGCCUGGCUUGCCAGACUCCAUACCAAGGGACUUGUUUUCUCAGCUGGGCUGAAGGUAUUUUUUUUCCUGAAAUUUAUUUGAAAUUUCAUCUUUAAAGAUGGGGCAGGGAAAAAUGAGGCUUGCUCCUCUCCCUCCCCCUGUGCCCCAAAGACUUCUAGAACCACUGUGUCUUGCCAGAGUGUGGCUGGGACCCACCGGCCCAGGCCUGGCUCUCCUGGACUAACCUGCAGACUGAAUCCAUUGCAAUAUUGAUCACAUUGAUGGGUUUGCACAGCUGAGUUCUUCCAGAGCUGCCGGAAGUCCCUCUGGGGAAAGCAGGGCUUGGGGGAUGGUCCUGGACUGGCAGUGACUGUAGUGGGUUAAAGCAGUGGGCCUUGUUGAGCACCAGCUGCGAACCCCGCUCAGCCCAGGGCCCUCUGGGGUUCAAGCUUGUACCCCCCCUCCGCCUGUCCCGGCUGCCUUCUCAGGGGUCCCCUCUGCCUACCAGCUCUGGGCCUGACUGGUCCUCCCUCAGGGGCUUGCUGCUUCCCGGAUGCCUGAGCCUGGCGUUUGAGGCCCCUCGGGGCCUGGCCUUGACCUGGACUCUGGGCUCGGGCUGACCAGGUGUCCCCACAUGACCUCAGGAAGCCGCCUUCACCUUCCGAGCCAGCAUGGCCUGUGGAUGGGGAUAACGGAGCCCAUUCUGUAUGGCAGAUGUGCAGGUUCUCCAGGAUGAUGUGUGCAGAACUCGUAGCCUGGGGUGUCCAGACGUGCUUCUGCCUCCGUUGUCACCCCCUGGGCCUGGAACGCCUGCUCCUGCCUCUGCCUGUCACCCACCUGAGCAGGUGGGAGGCUCGGCUCCAUGCCCCUCCAUGCCAGGCUCAUCCUCAGAACCCCACACAGGGUUCCAUGGCCCCAGGCAGCCAUGUGGCGUCUCCUGGAGUCACUUCCCUGAGAAGUGUCACCUUACAGCUUCUCCUCUGGUCACCCGCCGGCCCUUGGCACCCCUGCCCAUCAGCAGUGCUCAUGGAAGCCACCAUUAGGCCAGGUCCUGUCCUUCACAGUCCGUGGGUGGUGGGCCCGCCUCACUCUUUGCGUCCCUUCCGGGUGUGUGCUGUGUGGUUGUCCCAUCCUGUAGAUGCGGGUGGAGGCCUGGGUUGCUGAAGAUCCCAUGUGGGUACGAGCCCAGGCCAGCGUGGUCCCCUGUCCCACUGUCAUCAUGCUGCCUCCCGUCUCCUCCCGGUAACGUGAGGACUCAGUUUUCAUCCGGCAGACAUCUGGGGGGCACCUCCUCUGUGCUGAGUGUGGGCAGUGCCUGGCACCACUCAGGCCCAGCCGAGGGUGUGAGGCCUAGUCCCUGACCUCCGGGGAGAUGCCAGGAGAUGGAAGAAGGGGCUUCUGACCUGCUCGGGGGCUCAGGGAGAACUUUCUAGAAGGAGUAGGGGCUCUGCUCAGACUGGAGGGUAAGGAGGCAGCAGCCUGUCCAAAAGGUUCCACACCAGCCAUGUGCCCAGUGGCCAGCACUCACCUCCUCCUUGCCCCCUGCAGUAGGGGAGACUCUCAGGUGGCCCCCAGUUUCCAGGCCCUUGGAUAGCCCCUCCUCCUGAGUCUGAAUACUGUGGGGGCAUCACUGCCCUGACAAAGCCCCUAACCAGUUGGCUUUGAGUUAAUCAAAGGAGAUUAUCCAGGGUGGGCCUGACCCGAUCAGGUGACCCUUUAGAAGGCGAUGAAGCAUCAAAAGUGCCUUCCUGCUGGCCAUGAAAAUGCAGCAUUGAUGUGAGUGGCAGCUGCAGGGGAAGGACCUGAAUGUGGUCUUUAGGAGUGGCGAGUGGUCCCUGGCUUCAGCCACACAGCCUUAGGGAACUGAAUGCUACUGACAGCUGUGUGAGCCUAGAGGGGGUCCCUGGGCCUCAGAUGAGAACAUGGCCUCAGCUGACACCUUCAUUUCAGCCUCCACACCAUGAGUAUAGGGGUCAGUUCACCUGCACAGGACUCCUGGUCCAUGGAAACUGAGAUAGUAAAUGUGUGUUGUUUUAUGCUGGUAAAGUUGUGGUACUUUGUUAUGCAGCCUAGGUGACUGAUACACCUGCAUACCUGGUUUGUUCUGGUGGAGGAGCAGUGAUGUGCCCAGGAAAUGGGGGACCCCUUCCCAACCCUGGGGGAAGAUCAUGAUGCCUCUAAGCCUAUCUUAAGGUAGACCCAUUUCCCUUCCCCAGUGACUGGAGGAGAGGUCACAUGACCAAGUCCCAACCAAUAAAACCUCUGUGAUGAAAAGUGAGAAAUGUGCGAGAAGACUCACUGGCUGCCUUCCUGUUUGGUCAUGUGUGUGUGAGGAUGUGACACCUGGAGCUGCAGCAGCUCUCUUAGGGUUAGGAGGAGCUGAAGAUGAAGGCGACAGGAGGAAAGAGUCUGUGUCCCUGACGAUGUUGUCCUUGAGCUUCCAAAGGAACCCAUGCUGGAGCCAGCCUUUCGCCAGACUUCCCGCCAAGGGGGACACCAGUGACCUCAUUGUUUAAGGCCUUUGGGGAGGAGGGUUCCGUAACUCGCAACCGGACACAUCCUAGCUGAUUUGCUGUCCUCAGCCCUAUCCUGCACCCUUGGAGAAUCAUUGUGCCAGUCUGUGGUGGGAAAACUCACACACACACACACGACAGCCAGACCCUGUGGCUCGGCAGCCUUACAUCACAAAAGGGACUUCACUGAUGGGAUUAAGCUAAGGAUUUGAGAUGGGGGAUUAUCCUGGAUUCUGAGUGAACCCUAAGUGCAACCACAAGGGUCCUUCUAGGUGAGAGAGGCUAGGGGGUCAGAGUUAAAGGAGAUGUGAUAACGGAAGCAGGGGGCGGGGUAAUGCACGGAGCGGGCCACGAGCUCGGGAUGUGGGCGCCUCUAGAAGCUGGAAAAGAUGAGAGAGAGUCUUUCCCAGAACCCCCAAGGGGAACCAACCCCACUAGGCCAUUUUACACCUCUGGACUCGGAACUGUAAGAUAAUAAAUUUGUUGUUAGAAGCU
Non-coding RNA from Vicugna pacos (alpaca), 6386 nucleotides. The record is from RefSeq and is a predicted model, not a curated record. NCBI's taxonomy places the organism in Eukaryota, Metazoa, Chordata, Mammalia, Artiodactyla, Camelidae.